RNAcentral lists this small nuclear RNA (161 nucleotides) under Anabas testudineus (climbing perch). RNAcentral describes it as "U1 spliceosomal RNA (ENSATEG00000003693.2)". It matches the Rfam family "U1 spliceosomal RNA". Rfam says of the family: U1 is a small nuclear RNA (snRNA) component of the spliceosome (involved in pre-mRNA splicing). Its 5' end forms complementary base pairs with the 5' splice junction, thus defining the 5' donor site of an intron. The record is from Rfam by way of RNAcentral. Lineage: Eukaryota; Metazoa; Chordata; Actinopteri; Anabantiformes; Anabantidae.
AUACUUACCUGGCAGGGGAGAUACCAUGAUCAUGAAGGUGGUUCACCCAGGGCGAGGCUCAGCCAUUGCACUCCGGCUGUGCUGACCCGUGCGAAUUCCCCAAAUGUGGGAAUCUCGACUGCAUAAUUUGUAGUGGGGGACUGCGUUCGCGCUCUCCCCUG